AAAAUCUCUUUCACCCUCGUCAGGAUACGUUUAUUUCACUGAAACUGGACUUUAGAUUGAAAUGGUCUUUUGGUUGAAAUGAAGCUCAAUGAAAAUUACUUCUUUCCUGCUGUUUAUUUUAUAGUUGUGAAAGUGAAAUUUUAUUAGUUUUGUUAUUUGUUUGGUAGGAAGUAUAUGAUGUAAACUAUUUAUAUAUAAAUAAUAAAUAAUUUAAGACCUUUUUGCAUAAAAAAUUCACUUAUUUUGGGCUUUUGCAAAAUCGGGUCACCUUUUUCAUUUUUGCAGAUUCGGUCCGUCUUUUCAGCAAACUGACCAAAAUACCCUUAUUACUUUUUCUCUUUCCUCUUUCUCUCUCCUCUUCGUUUCUGUCGUUUUUUUUUUCUCGCCGAAAAAAAAAGAGACGGACCGGACCGUCGCCUUCUUCUUCACCGUCGCCUCCCUCCUCACCCUCCUUCUUCAUCGUCACCUCCCUCCUCACCCUCCUCUCCACCACCCGCGACCCCCUCCUCCUCUCCCCCGCCGCCGCCGCU
Molecule: long non-coding RNA, 530 nt
Filed under: Ananas comosus (pineapple)
Lineage: Eukaryota; Viridiplantae; Streptophyta; Magnoliopsida; Poales; Bromeliaceae
Description: long non-coding RNA (ACOM_LNC014787)
Source: RNAcentral